RNAcentral lists this ribosomal RNA (1369 nucleotides) under uncultured bacterium. Its description in RNAcentral is "bacterial SSU rRNA". It matches the Rfam family "Bacterial small subunit ribosomal RNA", at positions 28 to 1381 of the family's 1533-position model. The record is from RNAcentral.
GACGAACGCUGGCGGCGUGCCUAAUACAUGCAAGUAGAACGCUGAAGAGAGGAGCUUGCUCUUCUUGGAUGAGUUGCGAACGGGUGAGUAACGCGUAGGUAACCUGCCUUGUAGCGGGGGAUAACUAUUGGAAACGAUAGCUAAUACCGCAUAACAAUGGAUGACACAUGUCAUUUAUUUGAAAGGGGCAAUUGCUCCACUACAAGAUGGACCUGCGUUGUAUUAGCUAGUAGGUGAGGUAACGGCUCACCUAGGCGACGAUACAUAGCCGACCUGAGAGGGUGAUCGGCCACACUGGGACUGAGACACGGCCCAGACUCCUACGGGAGGCAGCAGUAGGGAAUCUUCGGCAAUGGGGGCAACCCUGACCGAGCAACGCCGCGUGAGUGAAGAAGGUUUUCGGAUCGUAAAGCUCUGUUGUAAGUCAAGAACGAGUGUGAGAGUGGAGAGUUCACACUGUGACGGUAGCUUACCAGAAAGGGACGGCUAACUACGUGCCAGCAGCCGCGGUAAUACGUAGGUCCCGAGCGUUGUCCGGAUUUAUUGGGCGUAAAGCGAGCGCAGGCGGUUUGAUAAGUCUGAAGUUAAAGGCUGUGGCUCAACCAUAGUUCGCUUUGGAAACUGUCAAACUUGAGUGCAGAAGGGGAGAGUGGAAUUCCAUGUGUAGCGGUGAAAUGCGUAGAUAUAUGGAGGAACACCGGUGGCGAAAGCGGCUCUCUGGUCUGUAACUGACGCUGAGGCUCGAAAGCGUGGGGAGCGAACAGGAUUAGAUACCCUGGUAGUCCACGCCGUAAACGAUGAGUGCUAGGUGUUGGAUCCUUUCCGGGAUUCAGUGCCGCAGCUAACGCAUUAAGCACUCCGCCUGGGGAGUACGACCGCAAGGUUGAAACUCAAAGGAAUUGACGGGGGCCCGCACAAGCGGUGGAGCAUGUGGUUUAAUUCGAAGCAACGCGAAGAACCUUACCAGGUCUUGACAUCCCGAUGCUAUUUCUAGAGAUAGAAAGUUACUUCGGUACAUCGGUGACAGGUGGUGCAUGGUUGUCGUCAGCUCGUGUCGUGAGAUGUUGGGUUAAGUCCCGCAACGAGCGCAACCCCUAUUGUUAGUUGCCAUCAUUCAGUUGGGCACUCUAGCGAGACUGCCGGUAAUAAACCGGAGGAAGGUGGGGAUGACGUCAAAUCAUCAUGCCCCUUAUGACCUGGGCUACACACGUGCUACAAUGGUUGGUACAACGAGUUGCGAGUCGGUGACGGCAAGCUAAUCUCUUAAAGCCAAUCUCAGUUCGGAUUGUAGGCUGCAACUCGCCUACAUGAAGUCGGAAUCGCUAGUAAUCGCGGAUCAGCACGCCGCGGUGAAUACGUUCCCGGGCCU